AGUGAACGCUGGCGGUAGGCCUAACACAUGCAAGUCGAACGGCAGCACAGUAAGAGCUUGCUCUUACGGGUGGCGAGUGGCGGACGAGUGAGGAAUACAUCGGAAUCUACUUUUUCGUGGGGGAUAACGUAGGGAAACUUACGCUAAUACCGCAUACGACCUACGGGUGAAAGCAGGGGAUCUUCGGAUCUUGCGCGAUUGAAUGAGCCGAUGUCGGAUUAGCUAGUUGGCGGGGUAAAGGCCCACCAAGGCGACGAUCCGUAGCUGGUCUGAGAGGAUGAUCAGCCACACUGGAACUGAGACACGGUCCAGACUCCUACGGGAGGCAGCAGUGGGGAAUAUUGGACAAUGGGCGCAAGCCUGAUCCAGCCAUACCGCGUGGGUGAAGAAGGCCUUCGGGUUGUAAAGCCCUUUUGUUGGGAAAGAAAAGCAGCAGGUUAAUACCCCGCUGUUCUGACGGUACCCAAAGAAUAAGCACCGGCUAACUUCGUG
Molecule: ribosomal RNA, 492 nt
Filed under: uncultured bacterium
Lineage: Bacteria
Description: partial 16S ribosomal RNA
Rfam family: Bacterial small subunit ribosomal RNA
Source: RNAcentral